Molecule: long non-coding RNA, 270 nt
Filed under: Elaeis guineensis (African oil palm)
Lineage: Eukaryota; Viridiplantae; Streptophyta; Magnoliopsida; Arecales; Arecaceae
Description: long non-coding RNA (EGUI_LNC065290)
Source: RNAcentral
CCCCCAAGUGGUUUCCGCAAAUUCCUUCAUGCACUUCCCACAAGGCGUAGUCAGCUUCCGAGGGCCGGAGACAUUUUAAGAGGGGUAAAGAGUAUGAUCUCUUGUACAGUUUGCCCUCAUAAAGGAGGUAUCUCGAGGCUUGAUUUCGGAGCUUUCGAGCUUCUUUCGCAUCCUGGGGGAGGACUUCAUCUCUGAGAUAGAUUAUCAGUGGGUCGAUCCAGCUGGGUUCGUGGUCAAUCUCCAUCACGGGCCGCGACUCCUCUGUACUCG